RNAcentral lists this unclassified non-coding RNA (1901 nucleotides) under Hevea brasiliensis (rubber tree). Lineage: Eukaryota; Viridiplantae; Streptophyta; Magnoliopsida; Malpighiales; Euphorbiaceae. The record is from RNAcentral.
UCUCUCUCUCUCUCUCUCUCCGAGUAUCUCUGAAAAACUCUGAUCAGUUAUAAAUAAACAAGAAACAGAAAAUAUAUAAUACUUGUUGCUCUCUCUCUCUUCCGCACACAGAGGAAGAAGAAACCAAGAAACAGAGUAACGCUAACUCACAAACACUCUCUCUGGAAGACUAGAACUUUGUUGUCUCUGUUGCUUUUUUAUCUCAGCAAUGUAGCUCCCAGACAAAAAUCUGUUUCGAAAUGGCCAAAUGUCACCGAAAUAACAUCGGAUCCUUAAUCCUUGAUCACUCCUCCGCCACCAAUGCGUCCGCUGGCGGCCAUUUCAGAUUUUCCACUGCCUUCUCCCCUGCUGCAUUCCGCCGUAAAAUUUUUGACGCUGUUAGCUGUGGUGGCAGCUCCCGCUAUCGCCACCAUGAUGACGACUUUUCCUCCACCACGACAACAACAACCACCACCACCACUACCAUUGCAAGUAUCAUGGCGAUGUCAGGUAACAAUAAUGCCAGUGUGAAAAAGACAGGGAGAGCGAGAAAUGGAAAGUCGGAGAAGUUAUCGGAUCUGUUGAGUAUUGCAGAAGUGGAGACUGAAAUCGAGACGAAGAAGAAAGUCGAGGCAUUGGAAGAGCUGAAACGAGUAGUGAAGGAAUUUCAGGUUGAGAGCGAAACGAAGAGCAAAGAAGCUGCUUGUCGUGUAAGGUUACUUUCUAAGGAAGACUCGGAAGCAAGAGUCACUCUCGCUAUGUUAGGAGCCAUCCCUCCUCUAGUUGGAAUGCUUGAUGUGGAAGAUGUGGAGUCUCAGAUCGCUUCUCUCUAUGCCUUGCUCAAUCUUGGGAUAGGAAAUGAUGUGAACAAAGCUGCAAUUGUUAAAGCAGGGGCUGUUCACAAAAUGCUGAAGAUCAUAGAAUCUCCAAGUCCUCCUAACCCAUCUCUAUCUGAAGCAAUAGUGGCAAAUUUUCUAGGCUUGAGUGCAUUGGACUCAAAUAAGCCCAUCAUAGGUUCUUCAGGUGCAAUCCCUAUCUUGGUAAAUGCUCUUAAGGACUUUGGCCAUAAAAGUAGCCACCAAGCGAAACAAGAUGCUCUUAGAGCUCUGUACAACCUUUCAAUAUCCUCAUCCAAUGUUUCAUUUAUUAUAGAAACAAAUUUGAUCCCUUUUCUUAUGAAUAUGCUGGGAGACAUGGAAGUAAGUGAAAGAAUUCUUUCGAUUUUGAGCAAUGCAGCUUCCACUCCAGAUGGUAGAAGGGCCAUUAGUAUUGUACCAGAUGCUUUCCCAAUUUUGAUAGAUGUUUUGAAUUGGACUGACUCGCCAGGAUGCCAAGAGAAAGCAUCUUAUAUAUUGAUGGUGAUGGCGCACAAAGCCUACGGGGAUCGACAGGCCAUGAUUGAGGCAGGAAUUGUAUCAUCAUUGCUCGAGUUAACACUUUUGGGUAGCACAUUAGCACAGAAAAGGGCUUCGAGAAUCCUAGAAAUUCUAAGAGUGGACAAGGGGAAGCAAGUUUCAGAGAAUUAUGGUGGGAAUUUGGGUUCAGCAGUGUCUGCUCCUAUUUGUGGGUCUUCAUCAUCUUCCACAAACCCAAAUGGGGCUUCGAAAGAGUGUUUGGAGGAGACUGAAGAUAUGAUGAGCGAGGAAAAGAAAGCGGUGAAACAAUUAGUCCAACAGAGUUUGCAGAAUAAUAUGAGGAGAAUUGUCAAGAGGGCCAAUUUGCCUCAAGAUUUUGUACCAUCGGAGCAUUUUAAGUCCUUCACAUCAAGUUCAACCUCCAAGAGUUUACCGUUCUGAGGAGAUUGGAUGGAUCUAGAUUGGUGUGGAGAUUGAAGAGGAGCAUCUUGAAGUUAGUCUUUUUAUUAUUGUUCUAGUUGGUCUCGAUCUUUGUAGUGGCAUUGUUAGCACAUGAAAUAGUCGUCU